CAGUAGCCACGGGAAUACAGAGGGUGCGAGCGUUAAUCGGAUUUACUGGGCGUAAAGCGUGCGUAGGCGGCUUCUUAAGUCGGAUGUGAAAUCCCUGAGCUUAACUUAGGAAUUGCAUUCGAUACUGGGAAGCUAGAGUAUGGGAGAGGAUGGUAGAAUUCCAGGUGUAGCGGUGAAAUGCGUAGAGAUCUGGAGGAAUACCGAUGGCGAAGGCAGCCAUCUGGCCUAAUACUGACGCUGAGGUACGAAAGCAUGGGGAGCAAACAGGAUUAGAUACCCGCGUAGUCCCUGUCUCUUAUCA
RNAcentral lists this ribosomal RNA (301 nucleotides) under uncultured bacterium. Its description in RNAcentral is "partial 16S ribosomal RNA". It matches the Rfam family "Bacterial small subunit ribosomal RNA", at positions 509 to 809 of the family's 1533-position model. The record is from RNAcentral.